AGGUCUGCUGCAACAGGCAAGAUCGUGAGUUUUCAAGACCUCCCUUGCUUCCUCGGCAGAGGAGAUUACAACAGUUGGGAUACGACCAAGGUGAAGGAGCAUGACAGGGCCAUAUUUUUUGGACAGCUGCCAGUAGGAUUGAUGAAGCAAUUCACCAAGUUGGUGUAAGUUGCCCAAAAUUGGAAGCUUAAAAGGGCUUGGUGGCAGCUGGUUGUUUUGUCUUUUAACUUCCUUCUUCAGUUUGAAUAUAAGCAAUAGUGGCAAGAGCAAGAGAAGAGGAAGCCACAUAGGUAGAGUAUAGGGAGCCAUUAGAGCCUUAGCUAGCUUGAGGAUCGAUGAACUUUGAAAUAAUUCUUCACCUUUAAAUGAACCGACUGCCACUUUCAAACAAAGUAGCCAAAAAUUGUCUGUUUGUAUAACGAUGCUGAUGCUUACUGGCACUAUUAGUGUAACUGGAAAUUUCCGUCUCGUUAGAUGCCUGAUCAGACUUUUCUUUGUCUAUAACAGGAUACUUUUCUUUAGGCUGAAGGUUUUUUUCCACAUCUACAUUAAUGCUAAUACAAUGAAAGGAUGACUGUUCCAUAAGGGAAAAAGAGUGAUGUUUCCACGCCAUAACCACUUGGUAAUCGAAUGAAAUUGGCUUCUCUGAGGCAAUAAAUGACUGACACAUAGAAAGCAAUUCAAAGACUUCAGCAAUAUAUAUCCAGCUCCUUAUCACAUUGAAAUUCAUUGUUUUGGCCCUUUGCAGCUGUAUUUGGUCAUUUCCAUGCUUUUGCGCUAUCCAUUAAACACAUAUAUCAGUGCUUGGAGAACUUUUCCGAUAUAUUGAUGAAUUGUUUAGGCAGGCAAAGCUCCAGAGUUCACUUUCCUAUCUUCAUAUUGUAUGCUUGAAGCUGCUGUGCUUCUUCUUGACCAAUUAAAUUUGCCGGGAUUACAAACUGAAAUCCAACUUCUUUGACUAAUGGAUCAAUCAGUUAUCAUUCCAGCACCGCCACCUUGUCGUAUGGAAAGGGUUUUCUCUCUUCGGACAACCUCAAUUUUGCACACCACAAUCUUCCCUUUGCUGGAACUCUUCGGGCAGAUGCAUCACUUUAUCACAAGAUGAGCUGAAAAAGUUUCUCAUUCUCAAAGAAUAACUGCCUUUUUGGGUUUAUAUACAAGAGAAUAUAACGAAAAUAAAAGUCAAUGACAGCUGGAACAUCCAAAGAAUUUCUGAAGUAGUUGCAGCCAUGGAUGUAUAUCUGCUUCUGAAGAAGAACUGUUGUUUGCUUCUUUGACUUCCAACUAAUCAAGGAUUCUUCCAAAAACACACAACAACCUGUUAGAGACUUCCUUGUUUCAAAAUAACCAGCCCAAUCACUAUCACAAUAAGUAGAGAGUUUGAACUCUGAUUUAGAGGACAAGAGUAAACCUUGACCUGGCACAUUUUUUAGAUACUUGAGAACCUUAAACGCUGCAUCCAGAUGUGAUUCAGAUGGUCUAUCCAUGAAUUGAGACAACACACAGACUCCAUAGGCUAAAUCUGGUCUGAUCAAAGUAACAUACAUUAAAUUAACCACCAGCUGUCUAUAAAUGCUAGGAUCUGUAAGCAACUUGUCUUCUGAAUGUGUUAACUUCACAUUUACUUCAACAAGAAUAGAGCUUGGCUUAGCUCCAAGAACACCAUACUCUUCUAACAUUUCCAAAACAAAUUUUCUUU
Molecule: unclassified non-coding RNA, 1699 nt
Filed under: Hevea brasiliensis (rubber tree)
Lineage: Eukaryota; Viridiplantae; Streptophyta; Magnoliopsida; Malpighiales; Euphorbiaceae
Source: RNAcentral